ACCAGAUAUGGCGACAUUGUUCCAGUAACUGUGGUGGGAAAGAUCUUUGGGGGAAUUUGUUCACUUUCAGGAGUCCUGGUAAUAGCUCUUCCUGUUCCCGUGAUUGUCUCCAAC
Non-coding RNA from Mesocestoides corti, 114 nucleotides. The record is from Rfam. Lineage: Eukaryota; Metazoa; Platyhelminthes; Cestoda; Cyclophyllidea; Mesocestoididae.